RNAcentral lists this non-coding RNA (167 nucleotides) under Paenibacillus amylolyticus. Lineage: Bacteria; Bacillati; Bacillota; Bacilli; Caryophanales; Paenibacillaceae. The record is from RNAcentral.
UGGUGCUUUGCCCGUCAGGGUGGAAGCUUAAUAGGGAAGUCUGGUGUGAUACCGGCGCGGUCCCGCCACUGUAACAGAGGAGUCAGGUAGCGAUAAUCCAUUGGUUUAGACCGGGAAGGAGCUGCAAUGACCAUGAUUCUGGAGCCAGGAGAACUGCCAGGUUUAAC